This 501-nucleotide long non-coding RNA is filed under the name Bemisia tabaci. RNAcentral describes it as "lncRNA ENSSSA1UGG011369". The record is from RNAcentral. Lineage: Eukaryota; Metazoa; Arthropoda; Insecta; Hemiptera; Aleyrodidae.
AUGGUGCUAUGGUUCCUAAGAUUGACAGUUGGCACUCCUGCAUCAUGCUUUAAAUCAAAACAAACAAUCCGUGUCCUAACCUCAAAGUUUGCUCUUCUUAUUUGCUGUUCUACAGUCCUUUUACGAAGAACCCAGUUUUAUCUUAUCAAUUCCAAUCGACACUUGAAAGGAGAAGUAUAUGUGAUCCAUUUUUUAAUAAACACUGUCUACUCUAAGGGUAACCUACUUUCCAAGUACAUCAUGAGAUGUCACAGAUUUGAGGUACCUUUUUCGGAGCCUGCUAAGAAAGCGACUCACUCCGAUAGGUUUGAACCGAAUACUGAAACUGGAAUAUCCUCCGCAUCUUUCCAAGACUCAACAACUGUCGAUUCCUCGCAUUCAAGUUCAACAGAUGAGGGUACUGUUUGUUGCACAAAGCUGAACUCCAGUCAGAGACAUUGUGAAACCCCGAAAAAUUUCUGUCAAAAAUGGGUGUGUCUGACGUCAUAUCAACAUUGCUGA